Molecule: ribosomal RNA, 1415 nt
Filed under: Xenorhabdus nematophila
Lineage: Bacteria; Pseudomonadati; Pseudomonadota; Gammaproteobacteria; Enterobacterales; Morganellaceae
Description: bacterial LSU rRNA
Rfam family: Bacterial large subunit ribosomal RNA
Source: RNAcentral
GAAAGCGUAAUAGCUCACUGGUCGAGUCGGCCUGCGCGGAAGAUGUAACGGGGCUAAACCAUGCACCGAAGCUGCGGCAGCGACAUGAAAGUGUUGUUGGGUAGGGGAGCGUUCUGUAAGCCGCAGAAGGUGGCCUGUGAGGGCUGCUGGAGGUAUCAGAAGUGCGAAUGCUGACAUAAGUAACGAUAAAGCGGGUGAAAAACCCGCUCGCCGGAAGACCAAGGGUUCCUGUCCAACGUUAAUCGGGGCAGGGUGAGUCGACCCCUAAGGCGAGGCCGACAGGCGUAGUCGAUGGGCAACAGGUUAAUAUUCCUGUACUCGGUGUGACUGCGAAGGGGGGACGGAGAAGGCUAGGCCAGCCGGGCGACGGUCGUCCCGGUUGAAGCGUGUAGGUGGGUGGUUUUGGAAAAUCCGGACCGCUGUUAACACUGAGGCGUGAUAACGAGGCACUACGGUGCCGAAGUGGUUGAUGCCCUGCUUCCAGGAAAAGCCUCUAAGCAUCAGGUCACAUUGGAUCGUACCCCAAACCGACACAGGUGGUCAGGUAGAGAAUACUCAGGCGCUUGAGAGAACUCGGGUGAAGGAACUAGGCAAAAUGGUGCCGUAACUUCGGGAGAAGGCACGCUGGCGCCAGGUGAAGGAACGAGCUUCCGGAGCCGAGGCCAGUCGCAGAUACCAGCUGGCUGCAACUGUUUAAUAAAAACACAGCACUGUGCAAACACGUAAGUGGACGUAUACGGUGUGACGCCUGCCCGGUGCUGGAAGGUUAAUUGAUGGGGUUAUCGCGUUGCGAGAAGCUCUUGAUCGAAGCCCCAGUAAACGGCGGCCGUAACUAUAACGGUCCUAAGGUAGCGAAAUUCCUUGUCGGGUAAGUUCCGACCUGCACGAAUGGCGUAAUGAUGGCCAGGCUGUCUCCACCCGAGACUCAGUGAAAUUGAACUCGCUGUGAAGAUGCAGUGUACCCGCGGCAAGACGGAAAGACCCCGUGAACCUUUACUAUAGCUUGACACUGAACCUUGAGCCUUGAUGUGUAGGAUAGGUGGGAGGCCUGGAAGUGCGGACGCCAGUCUGCAUGGAGCCAACCUUGAAAUACCACCCUUGAAUGUUUGAUGUUCUAACGCAGGCCCGUGAUCCGGGUUGCGGACAGUGUCUGGUGGGUAGUUUGACUGGGGCGGUCUCCUCCCAAAGCGUAACGGAGGAGCACGAAGGUUAGCUAAUCACGGUCGGACAUCGUGAGGUUAGUGCAAUGGCAUAAGCUGGCUUGACUGCGAGAGUGACAGCUCGAGCAGGUGCGAAAGCAGGUCAUAGUGAUCCGGUGGUUCUGCAUGGAAGGGCCAUCGCUCAACGGAUAAAAGGUACUCCGGGGAUAACAGGCUGAUACCGCCCAAGAGUUCAUAUCGACGGCGGUGUUUGGC